Molecule: ribosomal RNA, 315 nt
Filed under: uncultured eukaryote
Lineage: Eukaryota
Description: partial 18S ribosomal RNA
Rfam family: Eukaryotic small subunit ribosomal RNA
Source: RNAcentral
CCCUUAGACGUUCUGGGCCGCACGCGCGCUACACUGACCAGUGCAACAAGCAUCCGUCCUUGGCCGACAGGCCCGGGCAAUCUUUGAACGCUGGUCGUGAUGGGGAUAGACUUUUGCAAUUUUUGGUCUUCAACGAGGAAUUCCUAGUAAACGCAAGUCAUCAACUUGCAUUGAUUACGUCCCUGCCCUUUGUACACACCGCCCGUCGCUCCUACCGAUUGAAUGGUCCGGUGAAGCCUCCGGAUUGGCGCGCACCUCGGUGCCGCCGAGAAGUUGGCUAAACCUUACCAUUUAGAGGAAGGUGAANUCGUAACA